UGCUACUUGGGGGAGGGGUUUAGCAAACUGUAAAGUUACAACAAUACUACUGUUAAAAUUAGAAACUUAAAGCAGCAAAGUGUACGAUUUAACAGACUGGUUUGGGCAUAAAGGACUGGUUCUCUGUGCAACUGAGGGACUUUACAGUCGGAAGUAGGUGAAUGUCAUCGGCUCUUGUGACGCAUUUCCAAUGUACAACUCAGUCUAAAAUUGUUCCUGCAUUCAAAUAUUCCGUGGGAAUCUCUGUUGCUGCUACCUAUCAACCCAGUUCCACAGCCUUUCGGUGACAUAAAGGCUCACCUGUUGUUUGCUGCAGCUCGAGCAGGGCUUUGAUGGUGGAAGUGGCGGACUGGGACUCCCCGCCAGACACCUCCUGGUAGAUAAUAGUCGGGCUGGACUCCACAGACACUUCCUGC
This is a long non-coding RNA of Morone saxatilis (striped sea-bass), 416 nucleotides long. RefSeq lists it as uncharacterized. Lineage: Eukaryota; Metazoa; Chordata; Actinopteri; Moronidae. The record is from RefSeq and is a predicted model, not a curated record. The transcript has 3 exons.